This is a non-coding RNA of Pluteus cervinus, 94 nucleotides long. The record is from the annotation of a GenBank genome assembly. NCBI's taxonomy places the organism in Eukaryota, Fungi, Basidiomycota, Agaricomycetes, Agaricales, Pluteaceae.
UGCCCCAUGGCUGAGUUGGUUACAGCGUCCGACUGUUAAGUCCUUCGGGAUCAAGUACAUCGGAAGGUCGUGAGUUCGAGCCUCACUGGGGCAG